GCGGCCGUGAUGUAGUGGCAACAUGCAACUUUCCCAAAGUUGAUAUCGUGGGUUCGAAUCCCAUCGGCCGCUCCU
Molecule: transfer RNA, 75 nt
Filed under: Chloroflexota bacterium
Lineage: Bacteria; Bacillati; Chloroflexota
Description: Chloroflexi bacterium (hot springs metagenome) tRNA-Gly
Rfam family: tRNA
About the family: Transfer RNA (tRNA) molecules are approximately 80 nucleotides in length. Their secondary structure includes four short double-helical elements and three loops (D, anti-codon, and T loops).
Source: RNAcentral